AUUGAACGCUGGCGGCAUGCCUUACACAUGCAAGUCGAACGGCAGCACGGGAGCAAUCCUGGUGGCGAGUGGCGAACGGGUGAGUAAUAUAUCGGAACGUGCCCAGUCGUGGGGGAUAACGUAGCGAAAGCUACGCUAAUACCGCAUACGAUCUAUGGAUGAAAGCGGGGGAUCGCAAGACCCCGGCCGAUUGGAGCGGCCGAUAUCAGAUUAGGUAGUUGGUGAGGUAAAGGCUCACCAAGCCGACGAUCUGUAGCUGGUCUGAGAGGACGACCAGCCACACUGGGACUGAGACACGGCCCAGACUCCUACGGGAGGCAGCAGUGGGGAAUUUUGGACAAUGGGCGCAAGCCUGAUCCAGCAAUGCCGCGUGCAGGAUGAAGGCCUUCGGGUUGUAAACUGCUUUUGUACGGAACGAAACGGCGAGCUCUAAUACAGUUUGCUAAUGACGGUACCGUAAGAAUAAGCACCGGCUAACUACGUGCCAGCAGCCGCGGUAA
Molecule: ribosomal RNA, 500 nt
Filed under: uncultured bacterium
Lineage: Bacteria
Description: partial 16S ribosomal RNA
Rfam family: Bacterial small subunit ribosomal RNA
Source: RNAcentral